RNAcentral lists this ribosomal RNA (451 nucleotides) under uncultured bacterium. RNAcentral's name for it is "bacterial SSU rRNA". It matches the Rfam family "Bacterial small subunit ribosomal RNA", at positions 29 to 507 of the family's 1533-position model. The record is from RNAcentral.
AGUGAACGCUGGCGGCAGGCCUAACACAUGCAAGUCGAGGGGCUCUUCGGAGUCACUGGCGCACGGGUGAGUAACACGUAGGUCAUCUACCCCUAUCACAGACAUAACCCCGGGAAACCGGGGCUAAUAUCUGAUGAGGUCGCGAGAUCAAAGCUUCGGCGGAUAGGGAUGAGCCUGCGGCUGAUUAGCUAGUUGGUGAGGUAAUGGCUCACCAAGGCGACGAUCAGUAGCUGGUCUGAGAGGACGAACAGCCACACUGGAACUGAGACACGGUCCAGACUCCUACGGGAGGCAGCAGUGAGGAAUAUUGGUCAAUGGGGAGCAAUCCUGAACCAGCAAUGCCGCGUGUGGGAUGAAGGCGCUUCGCGUCGUAAACCACUGUCGGACGGGACGAAAAGAGCUAUAAAGCUCCGAGACGGUACCGUCAAAGGAAGGAUCGGCUAACUACGUG